RNAcentral lists this ribosomal RNA (406 nucleotides) under uncultured bacterium. Its description in RNAcentral is "partial 16S ribosomal RNA". It matches the Rfam family "Bacterial small subunit ribosomal RNA", at positions 30 to 526 of the family's 1533-position model. The record is from RNAcentral.
AUUGAACGCUGGCGGCAGGCCUAACACAUGCAAGUCGAGCGAGCGGCGGACGGGUGAGUAAUGCCUGGGAAUCUGCCUUAGUGUGGGGGAUAACUAUUGGAAACGAUAGCUAAUCCCGCAUACGCUAAGAUUAGCCCAGGUGCGAUUAGCUAGUUGGUUAGGUAAGCGCUCACCAAGGCGACGAUCUCUAGCUGGUCUGAGAGGAUGAGCAGCCACACUGGAACUGAGACACGGUCCAGAAUCCUACGGGAGGCAGCAGUGGGGAAUAGUGCACAAUGGGCGAAAGCCGGAUGCAGCCAUGCCGCGUGUAUGAAGAAGGCCUUCGGGUUGUAAAGUACUUUCAGUAGGGAGGCGUUACCUACAGAAGAAGCACCGGCUAACUCCGUGCCAGCAGCCGCGGUAAUAC